RNAcentral lists this ribosomal RNA (253 nucleotides) under uncultured bacterium. RNAcentral's name for it is "partial 16S ribosomal RNA". It matches the Rfam family "Bacterial small subunit ribosomal RNA", at positions 524 to 776 of the family's 1533-position model. The record is from RNAcentral.
AACGUAGGAGACAAACGUUAUCCGGAGUUACUGGGCGUAAAGGGCGUGUAGGUGGUUGCGUAAGUCUGGCGUGAAAUAUCUCGGCUUAACCGAGGCAGGUCGUCGGAUACUGCGAGGCUAGAGGACGGUAGAGGCGUGUGGAAUUCCGGGUGUAGUGGUGAAAUGCGUAGAGAUCCGGAGGAACACCAGUGGCGAAGGCGGCCUACUGGGCUGCACCUGACGCUGAGCCGCGAAAGCCAGGGGAGCGAACGGG